UGGGGAAUUUUCCGCAAUGGGCGCAAGCCUGACGGAGUGACGCCGCGUGGGGGACGAAGGCCUUCGGGUCGUAAACCCCUGUCAGAAGGAAAGAGGGUCGGUGCGGUGCACAGCCGCAUCGAUUGACGGUACCUUCAGAGGAAGCCCCGGCCAACUCUGUGCCAGCAGCCGCGGUAAGACAGAGGGGGCAAGCGUUGCUCGGAAUCACUGGGCGUAAAGGGCGCGUAGGCGGGGGGCCAAGUCGGUCGUGAAAUCUCCCGGCUCAACCGGGAGGGGUCGGCCGAAACUGGUUUUCUUGAGGGGCGCAGAGGAGCCUGGAAUUCCCGGUGUAGCGGUGAAAUGUGUAGAGAUCGGGAGGAACACCGGUGGCGAAGGCGGGGCUCUGGGCGCACCCUGACGCUGAGGCGCGAAGGCGUGGGGAGCAAACGGG
This 430-nucleotide ribosomal RNA is filed under the name uncultured bacterium. Its description in RNAcentral is "bacterial SSU rRNA". It matches the Rfam family "Bacterial small subunit ribosomal RNA", at positions 355 to 776 of the family's 1533-position model. The record is from RNAcentral.